UUAAGCGACUAAGCGUACACGGUGGAUGCCCUGGCAGUCAGAGGCGAUGAAGGACGUGCUAAUCUGCGAUAAGCGCCGGUAAGGUGAUAUGAACCGUUAUAACCGGCGAUUUCCGAAUGGGGAAACCCAGUGUGACUCGUCACACUAUCAUUAACUGAAUCCAUAGGUUAAUGAGGCGAACCGGGGGAACUGAAACAUCUAAGUACCCCGAGGAAAAGAAAUCAACCGAGAUUCCCCCAGUAGCGGCGAGCGAACGGGGAGGAGCCCAGAGCCUGAAUCAGCAUGUGUGUUAGUGGAAGCGUCUGGAAAGGCGCGCGAUACAGGGUGACAGCCCCGUACACAAAAGCGCAUGUGCUGUGAGCUCGAUGAGUAGGGCGGGACACGUGGUAUCCUGUCUGAAUAUGGGGGGACCAUCCUCCAAGGCUAAAUACUCCUGACUGACCGAUAGUGAACCAGUACCGUGAGGGAAAGGCGAAAAGAACCCCGGCGAGGGGAGUGAAAAAGAACCUGAAACCGUGUACGUACAAGCAGUGGGAGCCCCACCACUAAGCCAGUGGUGAACUCCACAUACGCAUCCUUUGCUGAGGAUACGGUUAACGGAGCGAAAGCGACGUUCAACCUCAAAAGAAGCAGAGGGGGCUUAGUGGUGGGGUGACUGCGUACCUUUUGUAUAAUGGGUCAGCGACUUAUAUUCUGUAGCAAGGUUAACCGAAUAGGGGAGCCGCAGGGAAACCGAGUCUUAACCGGGCGUUAAGUUGCAGGGUAUAGACCCGAAACCCGGUGAUCUAGCCAUGGGCAGGUUGAAGGUUGGGUAACACUAACUGGAGGACCGAACCGACUAAUGUUGAAAAAUUAGCGGAUGACCUGUGGCUGGGGGUGAAAGGCCAAUCAAACCGGGAGAUAGCUGGUUCUCCCCGAAAGCUAUUUAGGUAGCGCCUCGUGAAUUCAUCUCCGGGGGUAGAGCACUGUUUCGGCUAGGGGGCCAUCCCGGCUUACCAACCCGAUGCAAACUGCGAAUACCGGAGAAUGUUAUCACGGGAGACACACGGCGGGUGCUAACGUCCGUCGUGAAGAGGGAAACAACCCAGACCGCCAGCUAAGGUCCCAAAGUCAUGGUUAAGUGGGAAACGAUGUGGGAAGGCCCAGACAGCCAGGAUGUUGGCUUAGAAGCAGCCAUCAUUUAAAGAAAGCGUAAUAGCUCACUGGUCGAGUCGGCCUGCGCGGAAGAUGUAACGGGGCUAAACCAUGCACCGAAGCUGCGGCAGCGACACUAUGUGUUGUUGGGUAGGGGAGCGUUCUGUAAGCCUGUGAAGGUGGCCUGUGAGGGUUGCUGGAGGUAUCAGAAGUGCGAAUGCUGACAUAAGUAACGAUAAAGCGGGUGAAAAGCCCGCUCGCCGGAAGACCAAGGGUUCCUGUCCAACGUUAAUCGGGGCAGGGUGAGUCGACCCCUAAGGCGAGGCCGAAAGGCGUAGUCGAUGGGAAACGGGUUAAUAUUCCCGUACUUGGUGUUACUGCGAAGGGGGGACGGAGAAGGCUAUGUUGGCCGGGCGACGGUUGUCCCGGUUUAAGCGUGUAGGCUGGUUUUCCAGGCAAAUCCGGAAAAUCAAGGCUGAGGCGUGAUGACGAGGCACUACGGUGCUGAAGCAACAAAUGCCCUGCUUCCAGGAAAAGCCUCUAAGCAUCAGGUAACAUCAAAUCGUACCCCAAACCGACACAGGUGGUCAGGUAGAGAAUACCAAGGCGCUUGAGAGAACUCGGGUGAAGGAACUAGGCAAAAUGGUGCCGUAACUUCGGGAGAAGGCACGCUGACAUGUAGGUGAAGUGAUUUACUCAUGGAGCUGAAGUCAGUCGAAGAUACCAGCUGGCUGCAACUGUUUAUUAAAAACACAGCACUGUGCAAACACGAAAGUGGACGUAUACGGUGUGACGCCUGCCCGGUGCCGGAAGGUUAAUUGAUGGGGUCAGCGCAAGCGAAGCUCCUGAUCGAAGCCCCGGUAAACGGCGGCCGUAACUAUAACGGUCCUAAGGUAGCGAAAUUCCUUGUCGGGUAAGUUCCGACCUGCACGAAUGGCGUAAUGAUGGCCAGGCUGUCUCCACCCGAGACUCAGUGAAAUUGAACUCGCUGUGAAGAUGCAGUGUACCCGCGGCAAGACGGAAAGACCCCGUGAACCUUUACUAUAGCUUGACACUGAACAUUGAGCCUUGAUGUGUAGGAUAGGUGGGAGGCUUUGAAGUGUGGACGCCAGUCUGCAUGGAGCCGACCUUGAAAUACCACCCUUUAAUGUUUGAUGUUCUAACGUGGACCCGUAAUCCGGGUUGCGGACAGUGUCUGGUGGGUAGUUUGACUGGGGCGGUCUCCUCCUAAAGAGUAACGGAGGAGCACGAAGGUUGGCUAAUCCUGGUCGGACAUCAGGAGGUUAGUGCAAUGGCAUAAGCCAGCUUGACUGCGAGCGUGACGGCGCGAGCAGGUGCGAAAGCAGGUCAUAGUGAUCCGGUGGUUCUGAAUGGAAGGGCCAUCGCUCAACGGAUAAAAGGUACUCCGGGGAUAACAGGCUGAUACCGCCCAAGAGUUCAUAUCGACGGCGGUGUUUGGCACCUCGAUGUCGGCUCAUCACAUCCUGGGGCUGAAGUAGGUCCCAAGGGUAUGGCUGUUCGCCAUUUAAAGUGGUACGCGAGCUGGGUUUAGAACGUCGUGAGACAGUUCGGUCCCUAUCUGCCGUGGGCGCUGGAGAACUGAGGGGGGCUGCUCCUAGUACGAGAGGACCGGAGUGGACGCAUCACUGGUGUUCGGGUUGUCAUGCCAAUGGCACUGCCCGGUAGCUAAAUGCGGAAGAGAUAAGUGCUGAAAGCAUCUAAGCACGAAACUUGCCCCGAGAUGAGUUCUCCCUGAGACUUUAGGUCUCCUGAAGGAACGUUGAAGACGACGACGUUGAUAGGCCGGGUGUGUAAGCGCAGCGAUGCGUUGAGCUAACCGGUACUAAUGAACCGUGAGGCUUAACCUU
RNAcentral lists this ribosomal RNA (3002 nucleotides) under Salmonella enterica subsp. enterica serovar Poona. RNAcentral describes it as "bacterial LSU rRNA". It matches the Rfam family "Bacterial large subunit ribosomal RNA". Lineage: Bacteria; Pseudomonadati; Pseudomonadota; Gammaproteobacteria; Enterobacterales; Enterobacteriaceae. The record is from RNAcentral.